CAGAAAGCUGAAGCGAGCAGCCCAGGCUGGUGCUGCAGGAUGAAAUCUUAUACUUCUGUGCCUGGCAAUGAAGUUUUAAUCACCUCAAUAUACAUCGUUCCACAAUAUAUAUUUUUCUGUCUACCAAAGACAUAAUGGCUCCUCCUUUUAUGGGAAACCAGGAUUUAAUCCAGAUUUUGUAAUAGAUGACAACCUCGGAAAAAAAACAGUGUUCUUUUUUUCUACUAUUUAAGAUUGUUUAAACAAUAAAUAUAUAGCAUGUUUCAUAAUGACAUUGAAGUAACCAAGAGAAGGAGGCAUGGUGCUCUGGAUAAUGCUAUAUGCGGAUGUAUUCCUGUGUGGCUUUUCUUCCCAAUGCCAGUUAACCACCCACCCAAAGCCAUAAAAAACAGCAAGAGGAAUGGGUAGGAGAGGAUGGAAUAAUUCAAAUAAAUGACAGAAUUGGAGACCAUCCAGUGUCCUGCUCUGUGGAUGAAGUUGGAGUGGUCGGGCUCUCAGAAAGUUACUCCUACGCAUGGCAUUCUGGAUCCACUGACACAGAAGAUAAUUUCUCUGUAUUUUCUUUAAUGAACGACCUAUUAUGAAGAAGCAAGAAAAACCCAUACUGUACAAUUCUUCCACAGAUAAACUGGAGGGACGUCUAUGAGGGUGAGGAUUCCAAAUUUCAGGGAUGGAUCAUGGAAGAACACUCAGGAGGCAAUGACCUCUGGCAUUUGGAAGGCCAAAUAACAGUGGGAUAAGUGGCUUAGACAGAGUUAAGCAAGAGAGAAUGUUCCACCCCACACUGGCGUGGUGCUCUGCUCCACUCCAUUUCACGUCUCCAUGAAGUCAUGUCCCUAAAUCCAGAAAGUUUCCAUCAGAAAUGCUCAGUAUUGCAUGUUUAGUAUAACUCUUACACUCUGACAAAACUUCUGAAGCACAACAAAUUAAUCUGGAAAUUCGGAUCGCUUUCAAUGGUGCUAUACCAGGGAUAUAACAGCAGCUCCACAGAGAGAAGGUGGGAUCGUUGCAUCGAGGGAUUGAUUGCCAUGGAGGAAGACCAGAAAAUGGAUAAAUAACAGAAACAAAAGGAGCAGCAGAGAAGGUGGAAAGAGGAAACAGAAAUGGUGAAGUGAUACCAUAAUGCUCUACUGGCUCAAAAGCAAGGAAAAAUUAUGAAAGCAUUAAUUUAUUCAUUUUCAGCCAAAUGAAAACAAAAACAAAACAAAACAAACUAGUGCGUAAGAAGAGACAGAAAAUAGAGCAGAAAUUAGAACCUGUGAAGAAAACAGGCAGCAAAGGAAGAGGAAAUGAAGAGAAUGGUGAAACAAGUGCUGGAAGUAAAGGAGUGGUGGGGGGGAAAGGCAACACAAAGAGAUCUGAUGCAUGGGGCUUUUAGCAGACCCUGUAAUCCUGGGGAAGCAGUAGCCAGCAGAGGGUAUUCACUCAAGACCAAGGAGCGGAGAAGCACGUUGGUAUUCCCUGAAGAUAAAACAAACCGAGUGGAAAGUUCACUGUCUUCCUUUUGAAGAUGACUGAAGGUUUCCAUUUCAGCCGAUCCUUCCGAGCAGCCUGUCUUUGGAAAUAAAUGUUACCCCUCUGAUAAGCUAACCAAUUUGAAGAUUAAAGCUGCAUUUGAUGAUUAAAGUUUUUCUUAUUUGAUUAUUGUUGUGUCUUGUAGCAAUAGAAGAUAAAUAUUAAUAAAAUGUUAAAGUCCAAUUCUGCUUGCUUUACUCUUUGAGCAUUUUAAACAAUGAGCCUGAACAAAUUAGGCAGGAUUUGGCCCCUACACUCAGCACUGACUGCUCUGUUUUCUCAGUCCACUAAGAGUAAGUCUCCCGUGAAAUGUUACAUGUACCCGGCCAGCUCACAAACCCACUGCUGCCACAGAAAACUCCCGCUGAUGGGUAGCUCUGAAAACUCGCCGUCCAAUUAUAUACCACAGAGCUAUGUAUGUGUUUUUAUCGAGGAGAAGAAAAACCACAAGAAGCGCUCUACAGCAGACCACAAAAUGGGUUUGGCACCUGUGUCUCCUCGGGGCCAAAGUUUGGGAGCUGUGUUAUCGCGGGGCCGGCUGACCCCGGGGAGCGGCGCUGACCUUGUCUUGCACGCAGAAGUCUAUCGCUACGGCUCCCCCGAGAGCGCAGCCAGCUGCAAACUGCUGCCAUGAUUAACCCUUAUGUGCUGGAGACGUAACGUCAAGUCAUGGUAAUAAAGCUUUCACUGCAUAACAGAUCUCUUGCUUUGUAAAUUGUUGCUCUUAUCAGCUGCACUCUCGGAUGUUAUCCCUUUUCUGUGAAGCAUGACUGCUGUGUUGCUCACUGGAAAGGCUACCGGAUCUAUACAGUCUGUGAUAUUUAUUCAAUUGCUUUGGAGAGCGGUGCAGAGAAUGUGUUUUGUUUAAAUGAAAAGUGCAGUGUGUGAAAACAGAUGAAAAAAAAAAAGAGAGAGAGAAAUUCUCAUACAUAUGAAGCAAUAUAUUAAUUAAAAUCCAGAAUGCCUCCAGCAGAUUUGAAUCCAGGAACACCAGAUUUGCUAUAGCAGACAACUGUGUUGUUUCACCGAGUCCAGACUCCUGUUUGUGGAAGUAAUUUACACCUAGUGUUUGUAAAAAUGCAAACCUCGAGCCUGUGACGUAGCUGGACAAUUAUAGAGCUUUGCCAUUCGGCUGGAAACAGAGCACUCACACAACAAACAUAAGCUGUGUAAGUCUUAUUUUGUCAUGCACUUCAAAUAUGAGACCUAACUCUGUGCUCUCCGGUUUGCAGAGAAGUCAGUGGGAGCUGUGAGCAUCCGUCAGCCUGCGAUCCCAGUGUGCAGGGCUGAACAGGGCCCAGGCCUCCUCAGCGCCACAGAGCCCGUACCUCAGUGUGCUGCCUGCUCUCCAGCCCUCCCCUUGCCAAAGCUUUGGCCACAUCGCAGCUCUGAAUGAAAAAGUGGCCUUAACGUAAGCCCUGGGACAACUCAAUGUUAUCUGCUCCAGUCUGAGAGGAGCAGGAGCCUAUCUGUGCUGCCGGCAUUGCCAGGGCUCGGCUGCUGAGCCAGGUCUGCACUGCACCCACUGCUAAGCGCUGUGAGAGGACUCAGGAACGGCGCGGCCCGUCCCAGUGGCAGCUCUGCGAUCCUCAGGAGCGGGACCAGGAGGCCUGGCACACCAGGAGCAGGUCAGUCAUGCUGUGAGCGGGCGGUCGGUCAGGCUGUGAGUGGGAGGCCGGGCUCACAGGGCCGCCCCUGUAACCAGACCCUCUGCAUGUCCAAUCUCUGCUGUACUCUGGGGUUCAUAGCAAAUGUCUCUGGCCUGGAGUUUGUAGUUGUGGUCGUUGGUUGCUCCUAACGUCAUGUGGUUUGUCCCCAAGGAACCAAGGGCAGAGGCCAUCCUUGCUGCGAGGGUUUUGCUGUUCCCCACAACGGAGAAGCGCCCUCGGCCGGUGGUGCUCUGCUUUUUGGCACCUGGGUUCAGCUGCUUGAAAGGCACGGCAGACAGCUCCUGUACGGCCUGGGGCAGUCAGGGUUGUGUCAGCUGGGCUGCUCUCCGGUGGCACAGUGAACGUUUUCCUCAGGGCCCACAGAGGAAAGAGCUGGGGUUGGCCGUCCCUUCCCACCUCCCUGGGCCACCACUGUAACACCAACACCUGUAGUUAAAAAAUGCCAUCAGACCCUGCAGGUCCUGCAUGGCACCUGUGCGUGUCAGAGGGGCUAGGGCUGUAUCCUGCUCUGUGUGUGAGCUCCCACGUGCCCUCCCAUCCCUUCUCCCCUGCCACAAGGUACGGCCGCUGCCUGCUGUUUGGUGACUUAAAAAGGGGAGAAAGCAAUGAGUUUGGCGAAAUUAUCUUGAAGUUAUUUUGUUCCCUUGUGAGGUUUGGGUGUGAAGGGAGCUUCUAGUGUAUUAACUCCUAUUAAUAUUAAGCCUCUACUGUUAAUAGGAUUUGCAUAUGGAAAGGAAGAAGAUUGACCUUUAAAUUCAUUUAAUAAAGCAAAUUUUAAAAAUAAUUUUAGUUAAAAGCAUUAGUGCGGUGAAAAAUACAAGAACAAAUACAUAGACAUCAGUAUCCGGGCUUUUGGUAAUGCUAAUGAGCAAAUUAUUGCAGGGGAAGAUUUGCAUCACUGGAAUACAUGUUCCAGCCUCCAUCCUGAUGUAUGUGAUGUGGGGUUAUCUGCGUAGGGCUCCUCUUUCAGAACACAUUUUCCUCAUAUAAAAUAGCCUCCUCUUAACUCCCAUUGGGGACUGCCUUAUAAAUGAGGAAGCGGUCCUCAAGGGAUUGGCUUGGCUAAAAAAGUGCGUUAUUUAAAAACAAGAACAAAAACUUAUUAGAAUAUUAAGCAAUAUAAUUAGCUCAUUUCUUUUUUUUUUAAUCUUAAAAAAAAAAAGUAUAGCCAAUUUUAAUUAAACACGUUCACUAGAUGUUUGAAUCGUGUAAGAAUUAGAAAAUGGUCCUGCAUUUUAGAGUGAUGAGUGCUUCAGUUUCAGGUCCUUGCUCUGAUUGCUGUAGUCGGGUGCAGCCGCAGUGCAGCGGAUAAAGGAGUUCUCCUGUCCCAGGACCCAUUCUGCCCCUGGAGGGGCACUCUGAGCCCUGGGAGGGGAUGCACGUGUUCCCUUUGCGUGGGAAGGGACAUGGGUUGCCUAUACCAAAGCUGGCUAAGUGGUCAAAGUAGUGUUGUCCCCACUGCUAAAUGCUGAUUUACACGUGCUGAAAGGCUUCCGUUGCCCUCACAGCAAGUGAUGGAAGGUAUAAUUGGAUUAGUAACACGGCAUCGCUCUUCGGGUCUGGUGGGUGAGAACCGCUGCCCGGUGGCCCUGAUCUCUGGUGUUCGCUGCUCCUCAGGCCUUGACCCACCCGCGGCGCUGCUUCCUAGCAUGGUUCCCUGCAGUGCUCUGAGGUGCACGGGCGGAGCUUGCUGCAGGCUCAGGGGAAUAUUUGUCGGUAUUCGGCGGUACUUCCUUACGCAGCAGGGUCCAGAAAUCCAUCUGUUUGCGCUGCUCCUGCCCUGCCCCGAGCCCACCCCAGUGGGAUGAGGUGAAACUGUUCAGGUUCCUCUUCUCAGAGCCUCACUGAUGUCAUCUGUUGGAUGCAGCUCUGAGCAUCUGAGGUUGGUGAAAUUAAAUAAGGUGCGAGCAUCCUUUGGUCUGUGGCUCUCUGCCACACACUUUAGAACAAUUACUCGCGGUAACCUUAACAAUAGUGUAUUAAGGAAAAAAAAAAUCUUCAUAAAAGGAUUUAGCGUUGGGAUGGAGCUCUGCCUGGUAUUAGAACAAUUACGAAGCAGAUGCACCCACUCCAAGCAAAGUGACCUUUUCAUCAAGUUACAAAACAUUAAAGGUUAAGGGAUGUUUGAAAGGAAGUUAAUACUUUUAAAACAGUAGAAAAAAAUGGCCAUCCUUUCAAGACCUGACCAAACCUGUGGGAAACUUCCAGUCGUAAUUUAAGUAACUCUUACAAUAGAAAGAUGGAAAGUAUUUUACAUCGUCUGUUUUAUUUUAAAACCGCACACACUUUUUUAGAGAAGCAAUGGGAUUUGAUAACAAGAACUACCCCACGGAAGAAACCCGCUCUAAAGCUGGUUAAUUGCAAUUUUUAAGUCACUUUUUUUUUUUUCUCUCCAUUGUGCACCGAUGACACGAGAACAAAGAGAGCGAAUCAAUGCCGGUGUCACACUUUCUCAGUUUCCACCUCCCGCCCGACCCGGCCGUGCCAACGGGACCCGCUGGUGCUCGGCGCUCCUCGGCCCUGGGCACGGGCGGAGCGCGGGGCCGCUGCAGCCCACGUCCCGCCGCGGCGGAGCGGCACCGGGCGCCAGGGGCAGAGCGAGGUCCCUUCUGGGCAGCCGGGCGGCUUUGUCAUUUCUUCAGUAUUUUUAAGAGAAACUCGCCUGUCUUAACGCAAACGCUGUAUGCAAAUUAGUAAAAUAGCCGCCUAGGAAAGAAGUUUCUGCGGAAAGAAAGGAGGGAUCUGGCAGGAGAAGCUCCGCUCCGCGCUUCUUCCCGCUGCAGGAUGUAUCUGGGCACAACCAAAUCUCCCUGCCGUGAGGUCACAGGCGCUCGCAAGGGCACGGCCGCGCUCGCCCGGCAGCGCCGACCCCCGAGUGAUGCAGGGAGCAGGCGGGGAUCCCUUUCCCCCCGCCUCGGCCCCGCCGGUGCCCCCGCCGCUCCCCGGCCCCGGGGGCUGCACGGAGGAGCUCCUCGAGCCGGAGCGGGGCCAACUUCGUGCGGGCGGGCUGCGCUGAGCCCUCUGCGCACAAUGGCUGCGGUUGGCACCCGGGGGAGGGAGUUUCAGGCUCUGUAACUAAUUUUCAUAAAGGGUUUUCCUACUGCCCAAGUGAACACAUUACGCUACAGUAGCUCUGAAUGGUAUCGCUCCUUUCCUUCAGAGCGGCGGCCGAUUGUUUCUUCAGAGACCCCCAAGUCCUUUCAAGGGGGGAAAAAAAAAAAAAAAAGUGAUAAUUCAGCGGGACAGCACCGCGGCGACAGAUCUCACAUCCCCGCGCACC
Numida meleagris (helmeted guineafowl) is the source of this 6465-nucleotide long non-coding RNA. RefSeq lists it as uncharacterized. NCBI's taxonomy places the organism in Eukaryota, Metazoa, Chordata, Aves, Galliformes, Numididae. The transcript has 9 exons. The record is from RefSeq and is a predicted model, not a curated record.